CUCGGUUCUAGAUCGGUUCUAGACUCGGUUCUAGACUCGGUUCUAGACUCGGUUCUAGAGCGGUUCUAGACUCGGUUUUAGACUCGGUUCUAGACUCGGUUCUAGAUCGGGUUCUAGACAUGUUCCAGGUGUCCCCAGGUGUCCCCAGGUGUCCCCAGGUGUCUCCAGGUGUGUCCCAGGUGUGUCCCAUGUCCCCAGGUGUGUUUUGGGUGUCCCCAGCUGUGUCCCCAGGUGUUUCCCAUGUCCCCAAGGUGUCCCCAGGGUGUCCCCAGGGUGUCCCCAGGUGUCCCCAGGUGUCCCCAGAUGAUGUCCCCAGGUGUCCCCAGGUGUCCCCACGCACCGUGCAGCGGGGACAGAGCCACUCCCCGUUGGGGACCUCGGGCAGGGGCGGGUUGAGGCAGUGGAUGUGGUAGGAGGAGACGCAGGCGUCGCAGCACAGCAGCUCGCCGCCGUCCUUGCACACCCGGCAGUAUUCCAUGUGGUCGUCUUCCUCCUCCUUCUCGCCCUCCUCCUCCUCCUCUUCCUCCUCCUCCUCCUCCUCCUUGGCCUCCCACUGCACGCCUUCCUUCUCCUGCAGAGGGAGAGCGGGGUCACGGCGGAGGUGGGGCACCCCGAAAGUGAUGCUGGGGCAUGGACUGACCCAAAACGGACCCAAAUGGACCCAAAAAUGACCCAAAAGUGAUCCUGGGGCACGAACUGACCCAAAAAUGACCCAAAACUGAACCAAAUGGACCCAAAACUGACCCAAAAGUGAUCCUGGGGCAUGAACUGACCCAAAACUGAACCAAAUGGACCCAAAAAUGAAGCAGAACUGACCCAAAAGUGAUGCUGGGGCAUGGACUGACCCAAAAAUGAACCAAGUGGACCCAAAAGUGACCCAAAUGGACCCAAAAAUGAACCAAAACGGACCCAAAUGGACCCAAAUGGACCCAAAUGGACCCAAAACUGAACCAAAACUGAACCAAAACUGACCCAAAACUGACCCAAAACUGACCCAAAUGGACCCAAAACUGAACCAAAACGGACCCAAAACGGACCCAAAACUGAAACAAAACUGAACCAAAACUGACCCAAAACUGAACCAAAUGGACCCAAAUGGACCCAAAACUGAACCAAAACUGACCCAAAAAUGACCCAAAAGUGAUCCUGGGGCAUGAACUGACCCAAAAAUGAACCAAAUGGACCCAAAACUGAACCAAAACUGACCCAAAUGGACCCAAAACUGACCCAAAAGUGAUCCUGGGGCAUGAACUGACCCAAAACUGAACCAAAUGGACCCAAAAAUGACCCAAAUGGACCCAAAAGUGACCCAAAUAGACCCAAAAGUGACCCAAAAAUGAUCCAAAUGGACCCAAAACUGACCCAAAUGGACCCAAAACUGACCCAAAAGUGAUGCUGGGGCAUGAACUGACC
RNAcentral lists this long non-coding RNA (1413 nucleotides) under Cyanistes caeruleus (blue tit). RNAcentral describes it as "lncRNA (ENSCCEG00000003263.1)". Lineage: Eukaryota; Metazoa; Chordata; Aves; Passeriformes; Paridae. The record is from RNAcentral.